UUAACUAUUAUAUAGUACUCAGACAUUACUAAACAAAAGAGUUGUGGUCCUCUGGCGGGCACAGUCAGCCGGAGCCAACGCCGAAUCGGCGGCCCGCCAAAGCAACAAAGGUAUGUAAACACGGUUUUGAAUAGAGCCCCGUCUUCGAGAAGACAGGGUAAUUCUUUAAUGAUCCUUCCGCAGGUUCACCUACGGAAA
This 198-nucleotide unclassified non-coding RNA is filed under the name uncultured fungus. RNAcentral's name for it is "sequence contains ITS1". The record is from RNAcentral. Lineage: Eukaryota; Fungi.